AACACGCAAUGCAUCCUGGGAAGUAGAGGAACCGCGGGCCAAACUAUUUCAAAGCAGAUGAGUUGUGCUUAUCUACCGCAAACUGAUUGGAAUCUGAACAUUCUCCUGAACUGACUUGACCAACGGACUGAGUUGCAUGAAAUCCAGGAGGGUGCGUGUCUUGCCAGAACACCGGCUCCAAUUUAAGAGCAAGCUGCAACCAACAGUCUAUCCACAGUGCGAAGACACUUCGAAGGAAGACCAUACAGAUGCUCCAAUUGUGCAUGCAAAGAUGAACACGGCUCUGAGGCAGCACAUCAAAGCGUGCGUUAAAAUAGCUACAACGUCAGAAGGGCUUCUUUCCAAACCUGCACCUCUUUUGAGAGCAGAAGUUUGCGGCGAGGCGGUGAUGGUGAUGCUGAAUGAAGCUACACGGCCUCAACCUUCACAGUGGAAGAAGCGCUCACAGUGACUCGAGGUACCUUUUCUAUAGUCAAAGCCUUCCCAAUACAGCGAUGCAUAGUCAUGAGGGCCACAGUGAGGAGAGUAAGGCAUAAGGAGAGCCCAUUCUUACUUCUUCAAAAAAGGUAAACAAACUCAAUACCAAGUAGAUUUGUGAGAAGCGCUGUGUGCGCUCUCUACCUAAAAAGAGUGUAAACAUUUUUAAAUGGCUCUUUUUUUUCUCCUCUCCUUAAGUUUGCAACACGUAGAAAUCCUAAACCGUCAACAAACAAGACACUGGUCUAUGUAUAAAAAACAGAGAACAAAAUUGCUACCUUUUGUUUUUUUACCUUUGACUACUGUUGGCAAAAGUAUUCACUGUCCACAAUAUUAGGUACACCUACACAAUCUAAUGUAAUCAUCUAAUAAAAGAUCACAGGUAAAUCACACAUUUGUCACUUUUGGUUGAUACUUAUUCAUUUAAUAAAAUCAGUUUAUUGUUGUGGCUGUAGUUAGCAUUGACUUGGAACUGUGAUGCAUCUUACUGAGAGAGAUUUCUAGUAUUUUGUCUGUUACGUUGCAUAACAAGGUGACUUAUUUAGGGCUGGGCGAUAUGCAAAAAAAAUUAUCACGAUUAAUUUUUUCAUAUCAUCUGAUAUCGAUUAAUAUCACAAUUUGUUUUGCAUUAAAGUGGAUUGUCCCGUACAGGGAGUACCACAUCCCUACUGUUUACUACUACAUUAUCUUGUAACAAACAUUUCCGGCAUGUUUGAUUGAGGUAGUAUAUGCUAACAGCUGACAACUGUCGUUUUGUUAAUAUCUAUGAUUGUGUUUACCAGAGGUGCAAUAGUACAAGUAACCCAUGCUACAGUCUGUACCUGGUUUUAGGGCCACGGUGUUGCUUGUUUUUUAGUACGUUUUGUGGGGGUAAAGAGAAUAACUUUUUUGCCUCUCAAAGUUAUUUAGUUUCUUUGCUUGUCAUCACAAACAUUCUGCAAUAAACAAAGUAUAAUUGGUGUAGUGAAUACUGCAAGACUUUUACUUCAAAUGAAAUUUGAGGUACUGUAAAAUAAUGUAUAGCAACA
Nerophis lumbriciformis (worm pipefish) is the source of this 1505-nucleotide long non-coding RNA. RefSeq lists it as uncharacterized. The record is from RefSeq and is a predicted model, not a curated record. NCBI's taxonomy places the organism in Eukaryota, Metazoa, Chordata, Actinopteri, Syngnathiformes, Syngnathidae.